ACAAUACAUACUCUUCGUAAAAUUAUCAGUAUGUUCAAUUCCUCUUCUCAAAUGCCAUGUCUAUUAAAACUUCUGCGUGUGCAAUUACUUGCUGUGGGUUCUUUUUUGGCAAGUUGACCUGGCAGGAUCCUAUUAAACAAUUUCAAUUAUAUACAAGAAAUAGAAAUUUUGGAGACAAUCAUAUUAUUUUUACUGAUUAUAGACUAAGUUUACCUAACCAUAAAGGUAAUAACUACCACAUUGUAAAUUUUUAUUUCAUUUCUGUAAACUCUAUUAUAUUUUUGUCAGAAUAAAACAGGGUAAAGUCAAUUUGAUUAAACAAGUUACAAUUUGGAUAUAUAUAUAAAUGAAUUGCAGGUGGGGUGCAACACUUAACAUCAAGUCGCAGUAAUUAUUAAACCAGUUAUAAACUUUAUUCUCUUAAUAAUUUUAAAGUUAUCAAUUUUAAAAGAUACAUGUGUUAAUGAUUUUUUUCUCACCAUUAUGACUGUG
RNAcentral lists this long non-coding RNA (492 nucleotides) under Mytilus galloprovincialis (Mediterranean mussel). The record is from RNAcentral. Lineage: Eukaryota; Metazoa; Mollusca; Bivalvia; Mytilida; Mytilidae.